RNAcentral lists this ribosomal RNA (446 nucleotides) under uncultured bacterium. RNAcentral describes it as "partial 16S ribosomal RNA". It matches the Rfam family "Bacterial small subunit ribosomal RNA", at positions 338 to 795 of the family's 1533-position model. The record is from RNAcentral.
CCUACGGGAGGCAGCAGUCGAGAAUCAUUCACAAUGGGGGAAACCCUGAUGGUGCGACGCCGCGUGGGGGAAUGAAGGUCUUCGGAUUGUAAACCCCUGUCAUGUGGGAGCAAAUUAAAAAGAUAGUACCACAAGAGGAAGAGACGGCUAACUCUGUGCCAGCAGCCGCGGUAAUACAGAGGUCUCAAGCGUUGUUCGGAAUCACUGGGCGUAAGGCGUGCGUAGGCGGUUUCGUAAGUCGUGUGUGAAAGGCGCGGGCUCAACCCGCGGACGGCACAUGAUACUGCGAGACUAGAGUAAUGGAGGGGGAACCGGAAUUCUCGGUGUAGCAGUGAAAUGCGUAGAUAUCGAGAGGAACACUCGUGGCGAAGGCGGGUUCCUGGACAUUAACUGACGCUGAGGCACGAAGGCCAGGGGAGCGAAAGGGAUUAGAUACCCUGGUAGUC